Molecule: long non-coding RNA, 2841 nt
Filed under: Sus scrofa (pig)
Lineage: Eukaryota; Metazoa; Chordata; Mammalia; Artiodactyla; Suidae
Description: lncRNA (ENSSSCG00055012157.1)
Source: RNAcentral
AAUGAAGGGAACAGCAGGAGCGAGAGAACAAAGUCACAGGAUGGUGUGGCUUGACCUUGGUUGAUCAAUGGAACCGAGUGGGGUGGGGGUGAGGGAAAGCGGGGAGUCUCAGGUGACGCCUGCACCUCUACCCAGGAAACAGCUCAGGCCCAGGUUGUUCUCCAGUCUCACUCCGUCCAGCCCUCCCUUGUGGGAAGAAGCUUCUGGUUUCAAUGGCCUGAUAAACUCAUCCGCAGGAGGCCCCAUCCUCGGAGCUAUUAACCCCGGAAACGGUGCCAUUGAACAAAAGCCUCCAAGGAGAGGAGAGCUUAGCCAGAAGGGGAGGCUGGCUAUCUGCUGCAGUGGAAGAGAAAACCACGGAUGGGCUGGAACACCCAGCCUGCUAGGGAUUGAUGGCAUCUCCCAGCAUCCCCCGGGGCAGGUACAGCCUCCUCCUUUGGCUGGACUUGAAAGGAAGACCAAUCCACCUGACUCCUUAGCCCAACACAGCCGGGCUCCCCAUUCUGUCUCCUCCUUGUUCCUCUGCAUCCCCCAGGGCCUGGGGUGACCUGCCCCAACCCCCACCUGUGUGCUUCAAGGCCCCAGUCUUCUUAGGGGUGGAGGGGAGAAAAAUCCUGCUACAGCUCCCUCCCCCUGCCUAGACUUUUGGCUGCCUCCCGAAGCCGGACAAUACAGGGAAAUGUUUGCACCCAAACAACUCCGCUGCUUCAGGAACUGCCUGACCCUGCCCAGGAAAGCAAAAUUCUGCAGCUCCACCCUGCUGCCCCCUCGGUCUGGGGGCCAGAAACCAAAGCUAGCUGGGAGGCCCAGCAGAGAGGUCACCAGAGCAAAAGCGGUCACAGGCAUCCCCGAUGUGGCGAGAGAGAGUUCAGGGGUCACCUCUCUCUAGGGACCAAGUCUUUCCUCCCUGCCCAAGUCAGAAUGGGAGCACUGUCCCCGACCAGAACAUACAAAAGCCAGAUUGUCAAUAUUUAUCUGGAGAGCUGCGGCUCUGGAUUAAUCUGGCCUGAAGAUAAUGCAAAUAGCCCUUUGAUGUGAUUUGAGAAAUGUAUUAAUUCAUUCAACAAGCAUUUGCUGCACUUGAGUUCAGGGUCAAGGCCCAGGCUGGGCACUGGGGAUAUGGGGUGAAUCAGCUCCCACCCUGCCCUGAAGAGGCCCACGGUCCAGGAGGAGAGAGAGACCCAACGUGGAAGAAGAGGGCAGACGGGGGCUGCUCUGCCCCAGCUGAAGUGAAUCCCGAGGAACAGCGUGCCCGUGCCGGCUCAAAUAAGGGCUCGAGGUGCAGGUGUGCAUGAGACCGGCCGGGGGAUCCAUUGCCAGACGCCUUCUCGGCCUUGGCCACCCGACUCGGGAAGCCACAGGGUCAGUUCAGUUUGUAAAAGCGUUGGAUGAAGACUAAACGCCCUCCCAAAGGACCGUCCCCGCCAGUCUGAUUCUCCCCUAAGGCCCAGAGGGCUCAGGUGCAGGACACCAGGUGCCAGCCAACAAAUGCUGAAGGUAAAGCAGACUGAAUGCUCCUGUGUCUUGGCACAGACACACCUGCACGUGCACCCUGCCUCGGGGGGACCUCCAGGUGUUCCUGUGUGCAGACCUUUGGGGCUCAUCAGCUUCCUGUAUCCAGUGGGGGGCCGUCAGUGACCCCAACACAGCAGCCUGCCUUUGAGGAACCCAAGGCUGAGGUGGAAGGAAGGGGAAGAGGCAGGGGCCGGCUGCCGGGGGCAGCUCAGGUCAAGACAGCCAGCCUGCUUGUCACAGCCCCUCACGCCGACCUCGCCCGCGUGCCAGAGGCUGUGUGUUUUUGUCUUUCUCCGGAGGGGGGAGGGGUGCGGCUCAGAGCCUUGAGUGAUGAGUUAAGUGACAAUGAAUUUGCACCACAUGGAGCCGGGGCUUAAGGGGAAAGUGUUUUGGUGAAACACAGCUGGGAUUUCAUCAGCCCCCACCCCCGAGACAGUACAAAAAUAGUCCGGGCCAGGCCGGCUCUGACCCAUAGGCCUGGCCCAAUUUCACGGCCCCCCGUCCUGGAGAGAGGCUUGGAGUGGCCUCUUUCCCUGAAUCUGGGUUUCGUAAUCUUGUUGUUUUGGUCGCCUGUUUGUUGACGGGCCUGGUUUGUCUGGGAGGACCCACUCCCGGACAAGCUCCCUGCUGCCUGGCCCCCACCGAGAGGGAGAGGGUGAGGCAGGAAGACACGCUCUCGUUGUUGGUGACAAGUCCCACCAGGCUAGAGACUAGAAAGACUGCCAGGGUCGCAGCCUGGGGACUGGUUGGGGCACCCACACCUGAGGGGUGCAGGUGGGUGACAGGCACUGGACUCGAAGGCGAGAGGUGGGCUUCACUCCAGCAAGAGCUGGAAGGCCCAUCAACAUCUCAAGUCCAACCCCAGCGCUCGGAGGGGAACACUGAGGCCAGAGGCAGGAAGUGAGGUGUUGGGCUUCAAGGCCUCUACAAGGAGAUGGAAGUUGGCCUCUGGCCAAGACCAGAAUGACCAGACCCUUAUCCUGGCCCCACCUCUCAUCUUGAACGGCCUGGCCUGCUCCUUCCUACCCCCAACCAGGAAAGAUAUGCAGUCCACUUCUCACCCCUCUCCUAUAGGGCAUUGUAUGCCCGCAACUAACCAGCAAGUGUAUCGUCUGCAUCCCUCUUUCUCCAACCAAUCAGCAGCUCAGCAGGUGUAUCGCAAGACCUCUCCUCUCCCUGGGUUGUAAAGACAGACAUAAGGACACUCUCAGCUCAUGUUCGGCUCUUCUUGAUCAUCAGGAAGUCGUCCUGCAGUGCUUGCAGCAUCCUUUAUCUCAAGAAACUUUCUUUCCAUCUCACCAUGCUCAAUAAAGUCUUCUUUUUUUU